RNAcentral lists this ribosomal RNA (41 nucleotides) under uncultured fungus. RNAcentral's name for it is "partial 5.8S ribosomal RNA". The record is from RNAcentral. Lineage: Eukaryota; Fungi.
UAAAACUUUCAACAACGGAUCUCUUGGUUCUGGCAUCGAUG